CGACAAACGGAGGAGCAUGUGGUUAAUUCGUAUGAUACGCGAGGAACCUUACCUGGGCUCGAACGUAAGAUGACUGUAGGUGAAAGCUUACAUCUCUUCGGAGCAUUUUACGAGGUGCUGCAUGGUUGUCGUCAGCUCGUGCCGUGAGGUGUCGGGUUAAGUCCCAUAACGAGCGCAACCCCUACCUUUAGUUGCCAUCAGGUUAAGCUGGGGACUCUAAAGGAACUGCCUACGCAAGUAGUGAGGAAGCGGGGAUGACGUCAAAUCAGCACGGCCCUUACGUCCAGGGCUACACACGUGCUACAAUGGCCGAUACAGAGGGCAGCUACCUGGUGACAGGAUGCAAAUCUCCAAAGUCGGUCUCAGUUCGGAUCGGAGUCUGCAACCCGACUCCGUGAAGUUGGAUUCGCUAGUAAUCGCGCAUCAGCCAUGGCGCGGUGAAUACGUUCCCGGGCCUU
This 458-nucleotide ribosomal RNA is filed under the name uncultured Sphingobacteriales bacterium. RNAcentral describes it as "bacterial SSU rRNA". It matches the Rfam family "Bacterial small subunit ribosomal RNA", at positions 922 to 1382 of the family's 1533-position model. The record is from RNAcentral. Lineage: Bacteria; Pseudomonadati; Bacteroidota; Sphingobacteriia; Sphingobacteriales.